GUGGAGGACAGGCCAGCAACCACCAACAGGGAAGUCUUGCAGCAGGUAGCAGGUGGCUUUGAGGCCAGAAUUGGGUUUUGGUGCCCCCUGUUGCUGGGCAGAACUCUUCCUCUAGACUGUAAACAUUCUGCCAUUAUUGCAUCAAUUCAUACAGAACCAUCAUUACCUGCUUAUAGGACCAGCUGUCCUACAAAACUAAUGUGCCCCAUAAGGACAGGGAACAGGUUCAAUUCUCCUACCUUACAUGGUGCCCUUAGCACCCAGGACCAAGUGCUCAUGAAAACCCUUCCCUGA
This 294-nucleotide long non-coding RNA is filed under the name Mustela putorius furo (domestic ferret). RNAcentral describes it as "lncRNA (ENSMPUG00000030124.1)". Lineage: Eukaryota; Metazoa; Chordata; Mammalia; Carnivora; Mustelidae. The record is from RNAcentral.